Molecule: non-coding RNA, 908 nt
Organism: Pogona vitticeps (central bearded dragon)
Lineage: Eukaryota; Metazoa; Chordata; Lepidosauria; Squamata; Agamidae
Source: RefSeq, a predicted model, not a curated record
UGGCAGGAUUCUCUGGAAAAGAAAAAAAGAGUCAUUCCAGGGCACCCCUACUCCUGAGAAGAAGGGCACAGGGACCCAUUCCUGUAUUCUGGCUGUGUUCCCACCCACACCACCUCCAAGAACCUAAUUUAUCAAUCAGGAGAUAGGAGAAAGUGUCCCUUAUUCUGAGAUUCUCAUUUGAGGGAAGGGAGUCAUACAUCUCAGUUGAAUUUGCCUCCCGUCCCUCUCGAGAUGUCACUCUGCCAUCCUUCUGCUGCCUUUCUCUUCUCUGGCCUGCCUGUCUACCUUAAAAUGUACAUCUUUCAGACAACGGAUGUCAUCGUAGGUACUUGAAGUUGGAAGGCAGCAGAUCUAAACAAGGAUGUUGCAUUGUACAGUAUCUAAACCAAAUCUCCUCUUUGUUAUUUCCUCCAGUUCUUUUCCUCUCUUGUUUUUUUUUUAACCUUAACUGGAACAAUCUCUGCUUUUCAUUUCUCAUUAGGCGACUGAUGUAUUCUAGCUUUCUGCAUUUUAUGUUUUCUGCUUUCUUCUUCCUUGUGUCCUUCCUUUUCCUCACCUUGAAAUAAAUCUAUGUGUGAAAUGCUUCCAAACUUUUUAAUAGUUGCCUGUGUAGAAUGAUUCCUUGCCAAGCAGCCAAACCAGUGAUAAAUUAAGCCCGCAAUCCUAGACAUGUCCUUGUUGUGAGUAACCAGACUGAACUCAAUGGGAGUCCUUUUUAAGGAAAAAAUAUGUGGGAUAGCACUCUAAAGGCAAAAGCUUGGGAUCUCAACCAAAGCUGUGUUAGAAUAUCUGUGGAUGGUAGGCUUAUCUCUAAGUAAACAUGAACAAUACACUGUAAAUUCCCACCUUUUCUGGUCAGUUUCAGGAGGCAAUUGCUUUUUCUAGUAAAUUUCAAAAUUGAUUCCUUG